Molecule: transfer RNA, 71 nt
Filed under: Stegodyphus mimosarum
Lineage: Eukaryota; Metazoa; Arthropoda; Arachnida; Araneae; Eresidae
Rfam family: tRNA
About the family: Transfer RNA (tRNA) molecules are approximately 80 nucleotides in length. Their secondary structure includes four short double-helical elements and three loops (D, anti-codon, and T loops). Further hydrogen bonds mediate the characteristic L-shaped molecular structure. tRNAs have two regions of fundamental functional importance: the anti-codon, which is responsible for specific mRNA codon recognition, and the 3' end, to which the tRNAs corresponding amino acid is attached (by aminoacyl-tRNA synthetases). tRNAs cope with the degeneracy of the genetic code in two manners: having more than one tRNA (with a specific anti-codon) for a particular amino acid; and 'wobble' base-pairing, i.e. permitting non-standard base-pairing at the 3rd anti-codon position.
Source: Rfam by way of RNAcentral
GCUUUCAUGGUGUAACGGUAGCACACUCGUCGGGUAAUCGAGAGAUCCAGGUUCGAGACCCGAUGAAAGCA